RNA transcript from Sycon ciliatum, 2421 nucleotides. It is a transcript of the gene named lysine-specific demethylase 2B-like, with no coding region annotated. Lineage: Eukaryota; Metazoa; Porifera; Calcarea; Leucosolenida; Sycettidae. The record is from RefSeq and is a predicted model, not a curated record. The transcript has 7 exons.
AGUCCAUUCAGAAAAAAAUGAACUUCUAGCUUUUGGCCAUAAAUGGGUCAAACUUUGAGUUUUUUUAGAAUUUUUUUUGGCAAUCCCCUAUGGAAUCCUCUUCCAAUUAUGUUUCUGAAGUUUUUUUGUCCAAAAAGCAAGCCAUAGCAAGAAUAGGAUUUCGGCCAGGUUUUGCCCCAAAAGCACAGAAUUGGGAAAACCAUCAAAAUCCAGGCCGUUUGACCCCGCCUGGCAACAGUGCAUUCUGCGGUUCGAACCCCAGUUCAGGCACCCUUUUUGGACCCUUUUCAAAUUUCAAAGUUCGCAGCACUGCACUGUGUACGAUGAAAUCACGAAAAACCGCCAAAUACGGGAGCUCGCCAGAGCCAGAGCCCAUCUUUUUAUGAAUGGACUGUAGUGAGUUAUGAUCAGAAGUGUCCUGUGGGUCUAGCCCUCAGCCCCUCUGCGGCAAGCAGUAAACUAUAUUUACACCAAAAAGCGCAAAACAAGACUUGAUUUUUUACGCGGCUCUUUUCACCAUGAUAAUUAUUGUACACGUUUGAAAAUUUGAAAUACUCAUGGCAACUGGUGGGUGAAUCAUUCAAAAAUGCAAACGUGCCCGCUGUUGAGUGCAGCCAUGUGAAUCCACACAGUCACUUUUCUCGUAAAUCACUCGCCGUAAAACGUGCAAGUGGCUGUCGUGUGAAUCGCCUAUAACUGACUGUCUGCAGUUGUCGAAGUAUUUCCCUGCACUCACUGUACUUUGUUAGAGAUGUUCCGCAUAACGUAAUUACGUUAGUUAAAAAAUGUAGUCGAUCUACGGAAAGUCUUACGUAAACUGCAUGCGCAUCUGGGUUCCGCCAUACGGAGUUUUCAAAUCAUAGCAGACUCAGCGGAGGACGUUCAGGUUGGUUGUAACUCUUGAGUUUCAUGCCGUUAGGCAAACAUCAGACAACUGAUACUCGGGUCUACCCAACAGUGAGUCAGUAUGCUUAUAAAUACAUAGGGCCACAAGCAUAAACAAAUUUAGCGCUAAAUCUGGUGUAAGGUAUGGGGAGAACAGCUGGUGCGGGCCACGGCGCGACAGUAGAAGUGCCAGGAGGGUGGCAGGCAACAGGCAGGUGUGAGCAUGAAAGCGCAGAAAGAGGCGAUGGGGAGGCAGUGUACAGCAGAUGGGUGGAGGUGCCAGGAGGAUGGCGGGCAAUGGGCCAGUGAGAUCGCUAGGGGGUCUUUGGGUGAUGGGCAGGCGUGGGCGUACUAUUGACAUCAUGGAUGUGUCCUCACAACAAGGCUCCACCACGAGCAUGGCAAACUUUACAAAAUACUACACGAAUGCGAAACGCGACGAACUCUACAACGUCAUUAGCCUGGAGUUCACCAAGACUAAGUUGGAGCCUCAAGUGGAGUCACCCAGUCUGGUACGUCAUAUGGAUGGAGUGGACUUGGUGUGGCCGGAAACAUUGCGCGCUUUGCAGCAGGAGGCCACCAACCGACUGGUCGACAUGAAAUAUCCCAAAGUGCAAAAGUACUGCCUGAUGAGCGUCGGUGGCUGCUACACAGAUUUCCGUAUCGACUUUGGUGGCACAUCCGUCUGGUAUCACAUUCUCAAGGGUGGAAAGGUUUUCUGGCUGAUUCCUCCGACCCCAAUCAAUCUUCACAUCUAUGAGCAGUGGGUGUUGUCGGGUAAACAGCAGGAUAUAUUCCUGGGUGACAUGGUCGAGAAGUGUGCCCGCGUCGAAUUGAAACCAGGCUUGACUUUUGUCAUUCCUACUGAAUCUGCGUGUGUCGCCCGCACCAAUACCUGACAACAUUGUGGAAAUAGUGGCAGUUGAAACAGAGAUUGUAUGCAAGUCCUCAGCUGCUACUGCAUCUCCAAGAAAGACAGCAGGUAUAUCAUCUCGUGACGACCACAUUUAAGUCUGAAUUUGAAGUGCGAAGAUGCUUCAGCAACCACAUCGUACUUUUCCAUUGCUUUCAUUGUGCUUCUACUGUGCAUGUGUGUAACUUGUGGGGUAUAUAAUUAUGUGAUGACAUUGUAUGCUGGCGACACGGUCAGUUUUUGUCCAUGCGUGUAACGUACACCUGCAUGUUAUGCAUUGAAAAGGAUCUGCCACUUGCGAUCCUGGGACAAGUAUCAGGUCAGCUUUGCCUUGUGUGGGCUGUACCAGAUUGCUGUUCACUUUUCCAUCUGUUGGAUAUGUGACUUUCUGCAAGUCUCUGGUGUAUGGUGGCCACUUCUUUGCUUGUCACUUUGUAUGAUAUUACAUUCUGUAUUCGCUGCUUCCAUGGCGUGGUCUGCAAACUGCAAUCCUUGGGCAAAUGUCAUGUUUGCUAUGUUGUGCUUUGGCCGUCAGCUUGUCUACACGUUGUAGUUGAAUUAUUUUGUUCCACAACUGACUUCCUUUUAAAAGUACGGUGGCCACUGCUUUGCAUGGCAUUUUA